GCAUAUCAAUAAGCGGAGGAAAAGAAACCAACAGGGAUUGCCCUAGUAACGGCGAGUGAAGCGGCAACAGCUCAAAUUUGAAAGCUGGCUCUCGGGCCCGCAUUGUAAUUUGCAGAGGAUGCUUCUGGCGACGCGCCUUCCGAGUUCCCUGGAACGGGACGCCAUAGAGGGUGAGAGCCCCGUCCGGUCGUGCGCCUAGCCUCUGUGAAGCUCCUUCGACGAGUCGAGUAGUUUGGGAAUGCUGCUCAAAAUGGGAGGUAUACGUCUUCUAAAGCUAAAUACCGGCCAGAGACCGAUAGCGCACAAGUAGAGUGAUCGAAAGAUGAAAAGCACUUUGAAAAGAGAGUUAAAAAGUACGUGAAAUUGUUGAAAGGGAAGCGCUCAUGACCAGACUUGGGCUGGCUCGAUCAUCCGGCGUUCUCGCCGGUGCACUCGGGCCGCUCAGGCCAGCAUCAGCUUCCGCCGGGGGAUAAAGGCGGUGGGAAUGUGGCUCCCUCGGGAGUGUUAUAGCCCGCCGUGCAAUACCCUGGUGGGGGCUGAGGUUCGCGCGUAUGCACGGAUGCUGGCGUAAUGGUCAUCAGCGACCCGUCUUGAAACACGGACCAAGGAGUCGUCUUCGUAUGCGAGUGUUCGGGUGUCAAACCCCUACGCGGAAUGAAAGUGAACGCUGGUGAGAGCUUCGGCGCAUCACCGACCGAUCCUGAUGUUCUCGGAUGGAUUUGAGUAAGAGCAUACGGGGCCGGACCCGAAAGAAGGUGAACUAUGCCUGUAUAGGGUGAAGCCAGAGGAAACUCUGGUGGAGGCUCGCAGCGGUUCUGACGUGCAAAUCGAUCGUCAAAUAUGGGCAUGGGGCGAAAGACUAAUCGA
This 867-nucleotide ribosomal RNA is filed under the name Trichothecium crotocinigenum. RNAcentral's name for it is "LSU rRNA". It matches the Rfam family "Eukaryotic large subunit ribosomal RNA", at positions 38 to 938 of the family's 3401-position model. The record is from RNAcentral. Lineage: Eukaryota; Fungi; Ascomycota; Sordariomycetes; Hypocreales.